Cervus elaphus (red deer) is the source of this 203-nucleotide long non-coding RNA. RefSeq lists it as uncharacterized. The record is from RefSeq and is a predicted model, not a curated record. NCBI's taxonomy places the organism in Eukaryota, Metazoa, Chordata, Mammalia, Artiodactyla, Cervidae. The transcript is spliced from 3 exons.
GUUCCCUCACCUCAGAGAGUCUGCCCUGCUCCCUCUGGGCUUCUCCUUCCUGCACCACAGCUUGGAAACCUCAACACAAGCGGAGCCUGGAAGCAGAUUCCAUGUGAAGAUGAUAGAAGUUGCACCUGGUUUACAGAGGAACACAGCUACACCAUAUUUUCUAGGCUUUCUUACAGAGGGUGUGGCCAUCUGACUGAAUUAUA